Molecule: ribosomal RNA, 367 nt
Filed under: Metagonia sp. 4 JJA-2006
Lineage: Eukaryota; Metazoa; Arthropoda; Arachnida; Araneae; Pholcidae
Description: partial 16S ribosomal RNA
Rfam family: Bacterial large subunit ribosomal RNA
Source: RNAcentral
UUUACUGUGCUAAGGUAGCGUAAUCAUUAGCCUCCUAAUUAGAGGAUCGUAUGAAAGGUUAAACAGUAUAAGACUGUCUCUAAAUAAAAAAUUAAUUUAAUCUUCUUGUAAAAACGCAAGAAUAAAAAAACAAGACGAUAAGACCCUGAUAAACUUACUAAUUCAGUUGGGGCAACAGUACAAAAAAACUUUAUUUACGCAAAAAACCAAACUUAUAAAAUUAAAAAAGACUAGUUACUACAGGGAUAACAGCGCAAUAUUUCUUUAGAGCUCUCAUCCUAAGAAAAGCUUACGACCUCGAUGUUGAAUUAAUUCCCUAUUAAAAGCAAAAGUUUAAUAAGUUAGUCUGUUCGACUAAUAAUAAAUU